Molecule: ribosomal RNA, 429 nt
Filed under: Gemmatimonadota bacterium
Lineage: Bacteria; Pseudomonadati; Gemmatimonadota
Description: Gemmatimonadetes bacterium partial 16S ribosomal RNA
Rfam family: Bacterial small subunit ribosomal RNA
Source: RNAcentral
UAGGGAAUCUUCGGCAAUGGACGAAAGUCUGACCGAGCAACGCCGCGUGAGUGAAGAAGGUUUUCGGAUCGUAAAACUCUGUUGUUAGAGAAGAACAAGGACGUUAGUAACUGAACGUCCCCUGACGGUAUCUAACCAGAAAGCCACGGCUAACUACGUGCCAGCAGCCGCGGUAAUACGUAGGUGGCAAGCGUUGUCCGGAUUUAUUGGGCGUAAAGCGAGCGCAGGCGGUUUCUUAUGUCUGAUGUGAAAGCCCCCGGCUCAACCGGGGAGGGUCAUUGGAAACUGGGAGACUUGAGUGCAGAAGAGGAGAGUGGAAUUCCAUGUGUAGCGGUGAAAUGCGUAGAUAUAUGGAGGAACACCAGUGGCGAAGGCGGCUCUCUGGUCUGUAACUGACGCUGAGGCGCGAAAGCGUGGGGAGCAAACAGG